RNAcentral lists this ribosomal RNA (478 nucleotides) under Clostridioides difficile. Its description in RNAcentral is "bacterial SSU rRNA". It matches the Rfam family "Bacterial small subunit ribosomal RNA", at positions 347 to 844 of the family's 1533-position model. The record is from RNAcentral. Lineage: Bacteria; Bacillati; Bacillota; Clostridia; Peptostreptococcales; Peptostreptococcaceae.
GGCAGCAGUGGGGAAUAUUGCACAAUGGGCGAAAGCCUGAUGCAGCAACGCCGCGUGAGUGAUGAAGGCCUUCGGGUCGUAAAACUCUGUCCUCAAGGAAGAUAAUGACGGUACUUGAGGAGGAAGCCCCGGCUAACUACGUGCCAGCAGCCGCGGUAAUACGUAGGGGGCUAGCGUUAUCCGGAUUUACUGGGCGUAAAGGGUGCGUAGGCGGUCUUUCAAGUCAGGAGUGAAAGGCUACGGCUCAACCGUAGUAAGCUCUUGAAACUGGGAGACUUGAGUGCAGGAGAGGAGAGUGGAAUUCCUAGUGUAGCGGUGAAAUGCGUAGAGAUUAGGAGGAACACCAGUUGCGAAGGCGGCUCGCUGGACUGUAACUGACGCUGAGGCACGAAAGCGUGGGGAGCAAACAGGAUUAGAUACCCCAGAUGGGCACGAUGGUAACGAUGAUCACUGGGGGUUGUGGGGGUGCACUAUGUGC